UACAGAGGUCUCAAGCGUUGUUCGGAUUCAUUGGGCGUAAAGGGUGCGUAGGUGGCGCCAUAAGUCAGGGGUGAAAUCCUGGAGCUCAACUCCAGAACUGCCUUUGAUACUGAAGAUCUUGAGUAUGGGAGAGGUGAGUGGAACUGCGAGUGUAGAGGUGAAAUUCGUAGAUAUUCGCAAGAACACCAGUGGCGAAGGCGGCUCACUGGCCCAUUACUGACGCUGAGGCACGAAAGCGUGGGGAGCAAACAGG
This 253-nucleotide ribosomal RNA is filed under the name uncultured bacterium. RNAcentral describes it as "partial 16S ribosomal RNA". It matches the Rfam family "Bacterial small subunit ribosomal RNA", at positions 524 to 776 of the family's 1533-position model. The record is from RNAcentral.